Cephalotus follicularis is the source of this 98-nucleotide non-coding RNA. NCBI's taxonomy places the organism in Eukaryota, Viridiplantae, Streptophyta, Magnoliopsida, Oxalidales, Cephalotaceae. The record is from Rfam.
GUGUGCGUUCAUACCAGCAAUAAUGUAUCGGAUUCCAUCGAAACUCUGAAGAUAUGCGUGCUUGGGCGAGAAUGGUACUUAUUGAUAUGUCACAUAUG